ACUCCUACGGGAGGCAGCAGUGGGGAAUUUUGCGCAAUGGGCGAAAACCUGACGCAGCAACGCCGCGUGAGUGAUGAAGGCCUUUGGGUCGUAAAGCUCUGUCAGAGGGAACGAAGUGUGGGCGGCUAAUACCUGACCCAUUUGACGGUACCCUCAAAGGAAGCACCGGCUAACUCCGUGCCAGCAGCCGCGGUAAUACGGAGGGUGCAAGCGUUGUUCGGAUUUAUUGGGCGUAAAGGGCGUGUAGGCGGUUUCAUAAGUCUGAUGUGAAAGCCCCGGGCUCAACCUGGGAAGUGCAUUGGAAACUGUGAGACUUGAGUACGGGAGAGGGCAGUGGAAUUCCCAGUGUAGGAGUGAAAUCCGUAGAUAUUGGGAGGAACACCGGUGGCGAAGGCGGCUGCCUGGACCGAUACUGACGCUGAGACGCGAAAGCGUGGGGAGCAAACAGGAUUAGAUACCCUGGUGGUCCACGCCGUAAACGAUGAGAACUAGGUGUUGCGGGUA
Molecule: ribosomal RNA, 504 nt
Filed under: uncultured Geobacter sp.
Lineage: Bacteria; Pseudomonadati; Thermodesulfobacteriota; Desulfuromonadia; Geobacterales; Geobacteraceae
Description: bacterial SSU rRNA
Rfam family: Bacterial small subunit ribosomal RNA
Source: RNAcentral